RNAcentral lists this unclassified non-coding RNA (6112 nucleotides) under Leishmania donovani. RNAcentral describes it as "gene:LdHU3.22.0860(CDS-product:glucoamylase-like_ protein)". Lineage: Eukaryota; Euglenozoa; Kinetoplastea; Trypanosomatida; Trypanosomatidae. The record is from RNAcentral.
CGCGUGCGCACCCCCUCCCCCAUAUUCACAGAGCGGCUUUCGUUUUGCCUUUGCUGCCGUGCCCUCUUUUCGCAUCCUUCACCGCUCCAUCGUUUGCGCGUCAUCACCCCCCUUCUUUCUUUUUGGCCGGUCACUCCACUUGCACCCCCUCUCUCGUGCACACGCAAACGCACACGCACCUAUCGUUUUCAUCGAGCCACCGGUCCAACCGUUUGCAAACGAAGAGAAACACCCCCUCCUCUCCCCCCAAAAAGGUUGAGAGAGGGGGAGCGUAUCAACACACGCACACGCACACGCACAACCCAGAAAGGAAAGGAAGGGGGAUUCCUCUCUUUAGAUCUGGUCUGGCAGCGUCCAUACAGCCCUUCAGAGGCGCACGUAACAACGUCUCAACGCUAUACCUUCUCCCCACACACCCUCCACUUUUCUCGCACACGCACACAGAGAGAAACACCCAUAUAUCCACGCAGACCCCAACAAUCAGUGAGCGAGGCGAGAAGAACGCCUCCGCACCUUCUCCACCGUUAAGAAGAUAUAGUGAUAGAACUCGGUGAUAGAGCAACUUUCUAUUUCUACUCUGUCGCCCUCCCUCCCCUCCUUCUCUCCCUCCUUCUGUCUGUCUGUCGCCGCCUCCAUCGUUAUCUUUCUCGCGGUUGUGUAUCGCCGCACCGGCUUAGAGAAAGAGAUAAGCGCAUCGUUUGCGGGCACUUGGCACACGCACGCUUUUCUUUCCGCCAAGCAGAGAGACACUCGCAAGCAGAGACGCACAUAGCGACAUAGACGUCUUGCACCAAACAUACACAAGAUACACACACGCCUCCAGACGCGCUUUAUACGCGGAUCACAAGACGUGUGAUCUCCGUGCACCAGGUACCUAAGACUACCAAGAGCAGUAGAGUCACCACCGCCUUUUUUUUUUCGUGUUUCCCCUGCAGCACUGUUUAAAGAGUUUUUUUUUUCGGUGCUUGGCGCGCAGGCAGUGAAUCAGUUCUUACGCUCCAGGGACGCCCCUCUUCCACAACGUCCGAGCUAUCUUCGGAUUUCGGACAGUGGCGUACUUUCAUUUUUCCGUCGUGUGCGGUCGGGUUAGUGGGCGGUGUCUGGCUUCGAUCUCUGCCCGUGUUAGCGCACUUCUGGCUGCCCCCUCUGCGACCUCCAGGGAUAGUUUCCACCUGCCGCAGACAUCGUGCCGACCCCCAUGAGCCGCAGCUCCCUCUGUCCAUCCUCUUCCACAGAGGCGCCGGCGCGACAAAAAUCCUAUGCAUGCCUGCCUGACGACAUAGCCGGCGAGGGCAGCAGCAGCAGCAGGGGCCCAUCAGGGCGGUGGGCCGAUGCUCUUCUCAAGAGCACAUCACAGGGCGCUGCCUCUGCACCAUCGGCGAGGGAGCUGGCGUCGCAGCCCGCGCACAAAACUGUGCCAAAGGAUUGCAGCCAGACUGCAGGCACUAUCACCGGCCCCGUCCGCGCGCCUCCACGACAGCCACAGAGUGAAGCAAGCAGCACCUCCCUGCAGCAUCGCGACAAGUUGCACCGCAGCAACUCGCUUGCCAUCGACGCCGCGCCUCCGCGCGCUAUGGCCGUCGCGGUGCAUCCGCCGUUGUCACGUGGCUCACAGCGAGCUGUAAGCGCGGCAUCCUCAGCACCCGCAUCGGUUUCGUCAGCCACGACGUCAGUGGGCUCUCACGCAUCGACGAGUAACACCGCUUCCGCUCCAGCCACACUGGUUUCUGACCGGCCUCUGAACCAAGCAUCACCGCCACCACCUCUGCCGUUUGGGACGGCUGCGCCCACGGGUCCAACUCGUGCUUCCACCGUUUCCACCGUGCCGCAAAAUGGAGUGAACCCACCACAGACCACCGCAAACACCAUGGACAGGAGGUACACUCGCGUCCAUACACCGGCGCACAUGCGCCCGCAGCAGUUUCACGCACCGCCUCAUACUCACAGAGGCGAAGAAAAUGGCAACAGCAACGGCAAUGUCGGCAGCGGCAGUGGGAGUCCUCUCGCAUCCACGGCAGCACCCCACGCCUUCGCAGCCACCUACGCCUCAUUGCCUUUUUUCCAGCGCGUGACCGACGCCGCACCAACGCCGCAGUCUUCGCCGGACGCGCCGCUUGCGGCGGCUUCGACGGCGAGUGCCAUUGCUCAGGAUGAGGAGAGCUCAUUGCUACCGUUGCAGGACGUGACGCCCAUCACAGACGCCGAUGAUUCCCAACAAGAGUCGCAACUGCUCAGCAAGCUGCGAGCAACAGCGGAAAGUGGGUGUGACAGUGGGCAGUACUCGCACCAUCAAGAGACUGCCGACCACGAUGUCAGCGCUGGCGCCACACCGGCAUUUUCUUCUGAAACGGCGAACACCGCGCCCCUGCAGUCGCCACCCUUCACAGGCGCUCACAACGCCUUUGUUGCGGGCUGCACACCACCGUGGAGCACGCUGCCGUACGUCCAGCCUCAGCCGUGUCCAAUGGUUCGAGUGCUUGCCCACCAGCAGUCGGUGCUCUUUCCGUGCGAGUGCAACGCUAGCCAAUGCGUGGCUGCGAAACCCUUUUCCCGGUCGACAUCGCCUUCUGACACAGCGCGGCUGUGUGGGACGCCGGGCGGGUUGUCCACAUCGCAGAGCGUAACCAUGUGCAGUACUGGGCAGCGAAGGAGCCGCGGCGCCGUGUCAGUGGCGGCGACCAACGGUACUGCGAUGAGCUCUGCUUGUCCUUUGACGUCGCCGGAGAGUGUUAGCGUGCACUUGAGUGGCAUCUACGCGUCACCGCCGCCGUCGUCCUCGCAGGCGUACGCCAAUGGCCAUGACCAGUGUUGCUCGCCUUUCCCAGUCCCCGGCAGCAGUAGACGGAGGUGCCACAAAACGGGCACCGCUGCCAGCUCUCCGUCUGCGUACGCACACGUGCCACACCAACAACAUCUUUUCCUCCAGCACUACAGCGUUGAUGGGGUUAGUGGCUAUGGCUCCCGCCGCGGCCCGUUGCUGUCCUCUUCUCCAAACCUGACAGUGACACCACUGCCCAUGUGGACGUCGGUGCCGGAAGCUGCCUGUGCAACGACAACGGCGACGGCUGUAGCAGGUCAAGGACGAACGAGCGCACCGGCAGGCACCUCAACUGCUCAAGGCGCUUCGGGAGGAGCGUCAGAUUUCUCGGCUAUUGCGCGCGGCCUGUCUGGCGUGGCUCUGGAGAAGCAGCUGCUUCACGCCAGCAAAGGUGAGCUGGCGCAGAUCCUACUGGAGCUGGCCAGCUGCAACCCGGAGGCAUCACGCUUUAUCCACUCCAAGGCGUUCUUCUUCGCCUUCCGCCACGAACACGGGGGUGGGUCUGUGGAGGCUUGCAAAGAAUGCCCAGCAGCGACCCCGGCGACGACAGCAGCCGCAGCCGCUGCCGCUGCGAACAAGAACGGGCAGCACUAUGCUCUUCACGGCGGAUGGGGCAGUGAUUUUACCUCAAAGACUGUGGACACCCCCGACGGUGACCGUUCUUGCGAGCAGUCAGGGGCGCUCAAGCGACCCGUCACAGGUGCGGCGGCCCUCGGCGCCGCUGAAGCGGGGCACGACCACGUCAUCGCUCGCUGCAUCUUUCCCGUGGAGGCGGCGGACGACGAGAAUGGCGACGGCGACGGCGACGACUCUGUGGCUAAGAUCGAGCAUUCUGACCCGACGGUGGCGAAGGGUGCUGCCAACGCAACAAUGCCGCGGUGCUGCCUCUACCCGGAGGAUCGUGCCUUCAGCGCUGAGCUGCACCCGUGCCUCCGCUGGUACGGCGCGUGCCGCAACGCGACGAGUUGCGUUUACGCGAAUGUGCCGCGCAACCUGUGUUUAAGCUGGAUUCGCGGCUCCUGCAUGGCCGACACCGGGUGCAGCGGCGUUCACCGACUCCCUUCCCCAUGCCCGCCUGAGAUUCGCAGAAUCUACGAGCUGAACCACGGCCUCGCACGCCGCGACACACCCGCGAACGCGUGCGCCGUCGGGGUAUCUCUUGGUCAUUUUCUCCCCAUUCCUCCUCCGUUCCCGGUCUGCACCUCGAAGGUACGAGCGCCGCUUGCGAACGGAAGCGUUGCUGCAGCGCUUCCCACCAAUCCGAACGCGAACGCCCCGGCCACUGAGCUUGCGGAGGCUUGCGCUGCUGCCAACGAAGCACUUGGCAUGUGCGCCGCUAUGGCGGAGGGGCUAGGAGAGAAGGUAGUUGUGCACACGCCAACGGACCAGUCUAUCCACAAGGACACCUUCCUCGGCGGCGGCAGCACGCCGCACCGCCAUCCGCACGGGCGUGACGUGGAGCUCUGCAUCUCUGCCAUGACGAUGUCGGAGAGGCGCGGCGGCGCCCACACGAUGACGGCUGGAGACGCCAGCUUGUGGGACUUAUCUGAUGCGGCCAUCACCACGAAUGCCUGCGGGCCGGUUGAUCACGAGAUGCUGCAGUACACCGGCGGCAUUCUUGGUGCCGGCGCCAGCGCUGGUGCAGCGGCCGCGGCGGUCCCGCCGUGCCUCUUUGAUGCCGACGUUCGACCGGGAGGUCGGAGGGGUGGCGUUGUGUCUUCAGCUGCUAAUAGUCGCUGUAGCACCGCCGAGGGCUUCGACAGCCGCACGAACUCCGUCAGCCGAUACCUCGGCCCUCAGUUUGAUCGCGCGGCGACGGCGGUGCCUCACUGCAACGAUGGGCGGCCCGACAGCGCGGCCAUGGGCGGGGCAAUGCAGGAGCAGAAGCCGGAUCCUAAGAAGAGCAUCAAGUCCAUCUGCGAUUGUGUCUUCGAGGCCAAGGAGCCUCUCCAAGUGGUACCCGUUCGUCCAGCCGGUGGCGCGGCGGGGGCAUUGAUUGACGUGGAUGACGAGGGCGACUUCUCCGCUCCUGCUGCAGGCACGCGCACGCGGAUGCAAUCACCACUGUACCAGUGAACGCAAAACGGAAUAGCCACCUGCAGCUGAAUAUACUCUCUGCGUUUUCUCAGUGUUCCUCUCCCUCCAUGUCGUCGCUUCCUUCCAUCUCUGUGUAUGCGCGCCUCUGUCUCCGGUGCCUUGUGCAUUGGUGCUCGUGUCGUUGCCGUCUUGGCCACCUCGCUUGGCGUGUGCGCGCUUGUGUGUGUCGAUGUGCGCCAUGCCUGUGUCUGUCUUUUUUGUUUUGCCUUUUAUGCGUUGGAGGCUUAAUACUUUAGACAUCUUCAUGAUACCCAUCUCUAUAGCUAUAGACAUCUGCCUAUACACGUUUAUAUAUAGCUUGAACUUCUGCGCAGGCGCGUCUUUUCGCGCGUGUGAGGGCUUAGACGCAGUCGUCAUGCCCACCUCGUUGUUGUGUUCGCCUUUGCAGCGCCCUCUGCGCGUCACCUCGCUCGAUGCCCCCGCCCUCCUCCUACUCCCUCUUCGUCCGAGGUUGUCCUGCAGGAGAGCGGGCUUAGACUCAUAUGGGCAAGUUGAAGUAAGUUCGAGGGCGGGAGCGGCAGGUGAUGGUGAGGGGGGGGUGAGGACGGGAGAUGUGGCCGCGGCUGCGCAGGUACGAAAAGCUGCCGUCCCGCUCAAAGAACACAUCACACCCUUCUACAGGCACAGUUCCGGCAGUGUGCAACGAAUAGAUUCAUCUCUGUUCCUUUUUUUUUUUGUCUUCUCGCGGACUUCUUGUGCCCUUGACGCCAGCAGAAGAGCUCCGCAACGACAACAGAAACCUGGAAAAAAAGGGGUGGGAGGAGGUCUGAAGAGCAAGAGAGGGGAAGGGGGUCGGGUGGGGUGAGGGGCGGCAAAGAGAUCUCGUGCACUCACCAGAUCCCCGCGCCCUCUCAUCAUUGGCUCCGCUUGAUUUCCACACUCUAGUUGUGCAGCGCGAAGAAAAAGGAAAUGAGUGCGCAAGGUGAGCGCGCAUUGCAGACGCAGACAUGACGCGAGACGCAUGGCUUGGCAUCCUUGCACCUCUCUCCCUCCCUCCUCCUCGCCUUUCGCAACGCAUUCACACGCACACGCAUGGGCAUGAGAGCCUAUCCCUUGUGGCGCUGCCUCCUCUUGAGAUCAGAUUUUCUUGGGUGCUUUUUUGCCACUCACCUCACUCACCUCGUCACCUGUAACUCUCUUCUCUUGGGUCUUAACCGUGUCGUGGUAUCGUCUCUCUUCUCCGCGGGGGGUCGACAG